Transfer RNA from Thecamonas trahens ATCC 50062, 72 nucleotides. It matches the Rfam family "tRNA". From Rfam's summary of the family: Transfer RNA (tRNA) molecules are approximately 80 nucleotides in length. NCBI's taxonomy places the organism in Eukaryota, Apusomonadida, Apusomonadidae. The record is from Rfam.
GAUUGCGUGGUCUAGUGGUAUGAUACACCGUUUGGAUCGGUGUGGUCCCAGGUCCGAUUCCUGGCGCAGUCC